GGAUUUUUAUCUUACUAGAGGUUAAACGUUAAUUUGUUUUUUUUAAUAAAAUCAUUUUUAUUAGAAGGUGUUUUUGUAUAGGUUAUAGACAAAAUUGUAAGUGUGGUAGAUUAGUAGUAUUGUGAGAGAUUGAUUGAAAUAUAAUGAAAAUAUAAUUUAUUAAAAGUAGAUUUAACUUAUUGUACCUUGUGUAUCAGGGUUUAUUAAAAAAUUUUUAUUUAUUUAAGAAUCCCGAUUUGAAGAGAGCUAAUUUUUUAUGUUAGUUAAUGUAGAAUAAUUAUUAAUAAUAAAAGAUUAGAAAUGAAAUGUUAUUCGUUCUUUAAGAUAUCUGGUUUUUUAAGAAAUGAAUUUAAUUCAGAUAUUAUUAAGUAUUUAUUUAAUUAGUUUGAAGUAGGUAUAAUUUAAUAUUAAUAUUUUGGGGGAUAAGCUUUGAAGUAUAAUUUAUAAAUAAAAUUGUAUUGAAUAUAAAUUUAGUAGGCUUAGAAUUAGCCAUCUAUUGAAGGAUGUUAUAAUUUAAUUUAUACAAAAUAAAAUUUUCAUAAAUUUUAAAUAGUUCAUUAAAAUAUUGUUUUUAAUUUUUAAAAAUUAGUAAUAAUGAUAAAAUUAGUAUAAAAAAUUGUUUGAUAUUCAAAUAUAGUGAAAGGUUGUAUUAAGGAAUUAGGCAAAUAAGUGCUCGCCUGUUUAACAAAAACAUGUCUUCUUGAAUAUAAUUUGAAGUCUGACCUGCCCGCUGAACAUUAGGUUUGAAGGGCCGCGGUAUUUUGACCGUGCAAAGGUAGCAUAAUCAUUAGUCUUUUAAUUAAAGGCUAGUAUGAAUGGUUGGACGAGGUGCUGACUGUCUCAGUGCAAAUGAAAAUAGAAUUUAACUUUUAAGUUAAAAGGCUUAAAUGAAUUUAAAGGACGAGAAGACCCUAUAGAGCUUUAUAUUUAUUAAUUAUUAUUUGUUUAGAAGAAUUUUUAAAAUAGUUUAUUUAAAUAUUUUGUUGGGGUGACAGGAAGAUAUAAAAAACUCUUUUUAGUUUAAUUACAUUGAUUUAUGAGUGAUUGAUCCAUUAUUAGUGAUUAUAAGACUAAGUUACCUUAGGGAUAACAGCGUAAUUUUUUUUGAGAGUUCUUAUCGACAAAAAAGAUUGCGACCUCGAUGUUGGAUUAAGGGUAAGUUUGGGUGUAGAUGUUCAAAAUUUAGGUCUGUUCGACCUUUGAAUCCUUACAUGAUCUGAGUUCAGACCGGUGUAAGCCAGGUCGGUUUCUAUCCUUAAUUAAAAAGUUAAUGUUUUAGUACGAAAGGACCAAGCAUUGGAAAUAAUAUUUCUUGUAUAUUGAAUGACAUUAAUUAGAU
RNAcentral lists this ribosomal RNA (1339 nucleotides) under Scopura longa. Its description in RNAcentral is "16S ribosomal RNA". The stretch from base 633 to 1339 matches the Rfam family "Archaeal large subunit ribosomal RNA", at positions 1423 to 2858 of the family's 2987-position model. Lineage: Eukaryota; Metazoa; Arthropoda; Insecta; Plecoptera; Scopuridae. The record is from RNAcentral.